GGAAUUUUCCGCAAUGGGCGAAAGCCUGACGGAGCAACGCCGCGUGAGGGAUGAAGGCCUCUGGGCUGUAAACCUCUUUUAUCAAGGAAGAAGAUCUGACGGUACUUGAUGAAUAAGCCACGGCUAAUUCCGUGCCAGCAGCCGCGGUAAUACGGGAGUGGCAAGCGUUAUCCGGAAUUAUUGGGCGUAAAGCGUCCGCAGGCGGUCUUGUAAGUCUGUCGUUAAAGCGUGGAGCUUAACUCCAUUUAAGCGAUGGAAACUGCAAGACUAGAGUGUGGUAGGGGCAGAGGGAAUUCCCGGUGUAGCGGUGAAAUGCGUAGAUAUCGGGAAGAACACCAGUGGCGAAGGCGCUCUGCUGGGCCAUAACUGACGCUCAUGGACGAAAGCCAGGGGAGCGAAAGGGAUUAGAUACCCCUGUAGUCCUGGCCGUAAACGAUGAGCACUAGGUGUCGGGGGAAUCGACCCCCUCGGUGUCGUAGCCAACGCGUUAAGUGUUCCGCCUGGGGAGUUCGCACGCAAGUGUGAAACUCAAAGGAAUUGACGG
This 544-nucleotide ribosomal RNA is filed under the name uncultured bacterium. RNAcentral's name for it is "bacterial SSU rRNA". It matches the Rfam family "Bacterial small subunit ribosomal RNA", at positions 358 to 916 of the family's 1533-position model. The record is from RNAcentral.